AGAGCAGACAGGCCCCUGAAACUGCCAAGGAGUUCGGGAGGGGUCCCUUCCCCUGGCCCGCGCCCCGACCCAGCACCUGUUCCCCGCAGUCGUGGCCGUGGGGGCCGUGCCCGUGGUGCUGGGCGCCAUGGGCUUCACCGGGGCGGGAAUCGCCGCCUCGUCCCUAGCGGCCAAGAUGAUGUCCGCCGCUGCGGUCGCCAACGGGGGUGGAAUCGCCGCGGGCAGCCUGGUGGCGACGCUUCAGUCGGUGGGUAAGUGUUGGGUGGGCGGUGGACAGGUCGGGGGAGGGGUGGGGGAGCGCAGGAUAGUGGGGAGAGGAGCAGAGCGAGGAGGGCGUUCACCCCAGAGGCUAAGCCUGAGGGAGGGCUCAGCUCCCUCCAGUUCCGUGGUUCUCAUCCUCCCGGGUCCUUUGUCCCUCACUGUCCUCUUUCUGGCUCCUUCUGAGUGAAGUUUGGUGAGAAUGGAGGGGUAAGGGGCUCUGAGAUCUGAGAGGGAGAAGAAGGGAAGGAGCCCAGGGCUCUGGGUACAGCCCUACCCAAAUCUGACACGGGAGUGGCCUAGGUGGGUCCUUUCCCCUCCGGGCCUCAGUGGCCUCCUGUGUAAGGUGAGGGGACCGGUUGCUCACUGGAUCUUUGGCUGACUGUCCUCUGUCUCUAACUUCCCAUAGAUUCACCCCCUCUCCUGUCUUUGCCACCUCCAGCAUCGUCUCCCCAAAGUGGAGCCCUGGGGGUUUCAGAACCUAGCGGAGGGAUCCAGGUCUCUGGGCCUCAGACAUCCAGAGGGGUCGGGGCCACUGGCCACUGCAGGUUCCAGGACUCACCCUCUGUCUAUUCCUCAGGGGCAGCUGGACUCUCCACAUCAUCCAACAUCCUCCUGGCCUCCAUUGGGUCAGCUUUUGGAGCCUUGCUGGGAGGCUCAAAAAAGGAACCUUCUUCCUCUUCCCCAGCAGAACCCGGGUCUGAAGGGGAACAGCCAGGAGAAACUGAAUCCCAAGUUCAACCUCCAAACCCCCCGCUCAGUUCAGAGAAACAGGAGAAAUAAAAAUCGUGUGUGGAUGCACC
RNAcentral lists this long non-coding RNA (1061 nucleotides) under Lynx pardinus (Iberian lynx). Lineage: Eukaryota; Metazoa; Chordata; Mammalia; Carnivora; Felidae. The record is from RNAcentral.